RNAcentral lists this ribosomal RNA (194 nucleotides) under Bodianus parrae. Its description in RNAcentral is "partial large subunit ribosomal RNA". The record is from RNAcentral. Lineage: Eukaryota; Metazoa; Chordata; Actinopteri; Labriformes; Labridae.
AUGGAGACCUGUAUGAAUGGCAUAACGAGGGCUCAACUGUCUCCUUUUUCAAGUCAGUGAAAUUGAUCUCCCCGUGCAGAAGCGGGGAUACUUACAUAAGACGAGAAGACCCUAUGGAGCUUUAGACACCAAGGCAGAUUACGUUAAUAAAUCCCGCAUAAGGGGACAAACAAGAUAAGCCCUGCCCUAAUGUC